This 75-nucleotide antisense RNA is filed under the name Amycolatopsis rubida. RNAcentral's name for it is "ASpks TB sRNA". It matches the Rfam family "ASpks TB sRNA". RNAcentral also lists the same sequence under 1 other name. Lineage: Bacteria; Bacillati; Actinomycetota; Actinomycetes; Pseudonocardiales; Pseudonocardiaceae. The record is from RNAcentral.
CUUGACCGAGCCCAGCCACAGCGGGCUGUCGCCGGGCCGGUCCUGCCCGUAGACCGACAGCAGUGCGCGCGCCUC